CCCUUCGAAAAAAGCAUCACGGGCAAUCCCCUUCGUCCCUCCCCACGCAUCAGCGGGCGCACCCCCGCCGCGGCCGGCGGUGCCGCUGCCUUCCUCGCGGAGUCCACGCCCGAAUUUCACGUCGGGAGUAUUGGUCUCCGUCUCUCCAGCUCCUCCCUCGAGCCUACCUCCCGAGCAACCUUCCUCCCAUCCCAAUUCCAGGAGACGCAUGGCGACAGAGUGCGGGCCUCCGCAACAUCCCCUCCCUUCUGCUCCCCCUUCUUCUUCCCUUGAACUGGAUCCGUCCUCCAUCGCCGACCGCCGCCACUCCCGUCUCUAGCAGCCCCUACAUCCCUAACCUUGAGUAGCGUCCCCACAGGCCACAGAUAUUGGUCAUGGGAGCAUGUGAGAUGGCGGCUACAGUGGAAUAGAAGAACCUUGGAGAGGUGCCAGUGGGCAGCGGCGGCGGCUCAGUCGUACUCAACAUCGUCGGCGAACAGCCUCCCCAUCUCUGUGCCACAUCCACAUCUCCCGCAUUUGCUGCCGUCGCUCCUCCAUCUGCAUCACUGACAGAAUGGCCUUCUGGAUGGUCUUUGGUUUGUGGGUGACAGGUUGUGGAAUUGGAGCCGGGUACAUGUGCCAGAUCGUUUAUACACAAAUUGCAGACGGAUGCAUGACAAAUUUGGUGUGCAGGAUAUAUGCAACUUGCAUACGGAUCAGUCAAACCAUGUGCUAAGCUUCAGAGCCACUCCACGCUCGAGGAUGAGCUGGGACGCCAUACCAGGCAAUGUGCGGCACCUCACAUUGCUCAUGGAAUUAGAGAUGCUGGAUGUUGGAAUAUCCGUUCGCUUUCAACACUAUCCCGGUCUCUUGAGUUGUUUCAUUUUUAUUCUUGUGAUGGUGACUUAAUGAAGUACUGUCAAACAGUGGGACAUCCAAACUGGGAGAAAAUUGAGCAUAUCCCCAGGAUUUUUUUUUGAAGACUGGGUUCAAGUAAGGUUGUAAUCCUCUUUGUGUUUCCAUUUAGUAUUUGUAAAAAUUGCCUACGUAGUUGAUUAUCUACUACUGUUUAAUGCAUUUACUACUAAUUGGCGUUUUAGGAAGUACGCGUGAUGUUAGUCAUCGCAAGACAGGGAAGGUCAUUCCAGCAAGUUGGUUCAAAUGAAGGAGUUGCAAGCUCAAAUUAUGAUGCUGGGCAUUCAACUAUUAUUGUAGCAGUCUGCUUGUUGUGAUUUGCAGUACCCUUUUUUACAUGAAUUAGUUGUGUCGUUCAAUUUGAUUCGAAAAUGCGCUAUUCUGAGCAUUUCUUUGUGCGUGUAGUCAAGCUCCUCGGUUUUGCUUGAAAAAUGAAGGAUACUGCAUAUACCCAAGUAUUUUCCAUGUUUUCUCAUACCGACCUGCCAUUUGGAGCUUAGUUGUCCGGAAUAGUGCAAAUGAUCAUCCACUACUGGAAAAUUGGUGUUUGCCAUGUGCCAUGGUCUUUGGCGAGAUCCAUUUUGCGUUCUAUUGGCAAAGCAACCCGUUGUCAAGCACAACACUUGGAAAACAUGGAUAUUUAGUAGAGGCUUCAAUUCUUCGAGAGCUAGUAGGAAAAUAUUAGAGAGAUGAGCAGGGGAGACUGGUACUUCCCAUUACAGUGGCCAAAGAAAAGCAACAAUUUUUUGCGUCCAGCGAAGCUUUCUCGGUAGUGCCCAGGUUAUGAAUUCAUGUGAUUUCAGAUGCAACAUUUAGAUGUAGUGCAAUUGAGAAUGCAGCAGGUCAGAACAAUGGAUGACAAAGGUGUUAUGAGUGGCUAGGUAGGACAAUGUGCCGCUAGCUCUAUAGAUUGUGUAAAAUGUGGAUAUGUGAAUUGCCCAGAUUGCCUUAGGGGCCAUGUUGCAAACUGUUCAAGGUUAGGUAUGUUUCUCCUUUUGACA
This is a non-coding RNA of Triticum urartu, 1895 nucleotides long. NCBI's taxonomy places the organism in Eukaryota, Viridiplantae, Streptophyta, Magnoliopsida, Poales, Poaceae. The record is from RefSeq and is a predicted model, not a curated record.